Molecule: long non-coding RNA, 2882 nt
Organism: Tribolium castaneum (red flour beetle)
Lineage: Eukaryota; Metazoa; Arthropoda; Insecta; Coleoptera; Tenebrionidae
Exons: 4
Source: RefSeq, a predicted model, not a curated record
CCAUUACAAUUUAUUUAUUGUCAUUACGCCAUUACUACAAUUUUACAAUUACUUGAUUUCAUUACAAAUUUGCCUUAUCAAUUUUCUGAUAAAUAAAUUCCCAUUACGGUAUUCAAAUUCUCUCAAGAGUUUUUAAUUAUUUGUGGUUGGUGGUACAUUCACCCAUGUUGGCAGAAUAUGUUUCGACAAUCUACAUUUGACACCACACACUACACUGUUGACAGAUGACCAGAUGACAGCAUUGACAACAUUGACAGCCCGAGCUUAAGCUUAGUAGGUCACAUCCACAGGCACCACAGGCCAUAAGUUGUUAGUUUGUUAGUUGUGUCCUCAGAGCCAUGUGACUCCUGUACCUUGAUCUCAUGUUUGAUUUGAAUUAAAAUAUAUUGCAGUUUUUGACGGUUACCGGUUAGGCUAGAAUGAACAGUGAAGUGGUGAAUCUUAUGGUUUGAAAAUGGACAAAUUUGUAAUUCGUGACUUAUCUCGGAAUGCUGUGCCCGCCACAAUUUCAGCACCCGUUCCUAGUGUUGCCACUGUUGCUACUACUUCAGGUUCAGAACCAGAGGAAGAAACUUACAACGACAGCCAUGAAGAUGUUCUAUUGAAACGAAAGAAGCGUAUACGAAAUGUUUUUAAACAGAAAUUUAAAAAAUCAUGGAUAACCAAAACCAAAAAAAAAAAUGGUUGACAGAAAUACCUGCCACAGGGCAAGCACAGUGUAAUGUUUGCAAUAAAACUUUGGUUGGAGGGAUUACUCACAUAAAUAGACAUGGCAAUAGUACAAGUCACAUUAAAAGAAUAAAAUGUUUAGGAGCAACUCCACAAAUCGCUACCUUGAAGACAGAAACAACAGAAAAGAAACGAUUAAAAGAUGGCGUUAAGCAAGCUGAAAUUAAGAUGAUCAUGUUUCUAGCAGAACAUAACCUUCCAUUUCGUUUACUUGAACAUUUACCUAAAUUUCUAGCCUCAGUGUGUUAUGAUUCAGAAAUUGCUAAACAUUUACAGUGUAGCCGUAAAAAAGGUACAAAAAUAUGCACUGAAAUAACUGGUCCAGCACAUUUACGUCAGGUAUCAGAAGAAUUAAAAAGCAAUUGGUUUUCUUUAAUAUUGGAUGAAACCACAGACAUUUCCACCCAAAAAUGUUUAACAGUUUUAGCUCGAUACUACAGUGGAGAUGUCAUAAAAGAUGAAUAUUUAGGGCUAAUUCCGGUCGAAAAUGGUACAGCUGAAUCAUUAUAUACUGCAACGAAAGGACUAUUAGAACAAAAUAAUAUACCACUUACAAAAAUGAUCGCAUUUGCAGCAGACAAUGCUUCGAUAUGUUUGCUCUGGGAUGUGUGUGCCAUUCUCUAACUCUUUGUUCUGGAUCAGCUUGUAAGAAGUUACCUACAUCAGUAGAAAAAUUAGCUAGAGAUAUUGUUUCUUAUUUUGCACACAGCUCGAAACGACAACAUGAAUUAAAGGAAUAUCAGUGUUUUGUUGAUGUGAGCCAACAUAAACUGUUAAAAUUAAGUAAUACUAGGUGGCUUUCACUACAAGCUGUUGUAGACCGUAUUAUUGAACAGUGGCAGUCUUUGACGAUGUUUUUUACAAAUGAGGUUUAUGAUAAAAGUUGUCUUGUUAAUCCUGAGCAGAUACUUUCUGCUUUACAAAAUCCUGUAUUCAAAUUAGACUUUACAUUUCUAUCAUAUAUUCUUGAUGUAGUGAAUACCAUGAAUUUACAAUUUCAAGGUGAAUCGCCAAAGCUACAUUUAUUACAUAGUAGGAUCACUGGUCUAUUUAAAUUAAUACUGAAAAAUUUUAUGAAACCCCAAUAUUUAAGUAAUCUGACUAUGUAUAAUAAAAUACAGUUCCUUCCUCAUAACUACAAAACAUUGGAUAAUAUUUAUUGCGGAGCAAAUUGUGAAUUAAUUAUUAAUAGUACACCCAUCAACAAGACUGAAAUAGGUAGCUUUAAAAUAAAAUGUUUAGACUUCUAUGUUGAAUUAGGUAAACAAAUAUUAUCAAGAUUUAAUUUUGAUGACAAUGUAUUGAAAUUUAUGCAAAACUUUGACCCUGCUGUGGCUGUGUCUGGUGUAUGCGAGUCCCUAGUUCCUCUUGCUAGUAGAUUUCCUAGAUUAGUCACUAAUUUAGAGAAACUCAAUUCAGAAUGGAGACUCUUAUCUGAUAUGUCUGAAAUUAAAAUAAACAGUUCCAAGUCUCUAAUAGACUUUUGGAAUUACGUUUUCAACAUAAAAAACGGACUGAAUGAAUAUAUGUUCCCUCAUUUGACAAAUUUUGUUAAAGGGUUGUUGUGUUUACCACAAUCCUCCGCUGCGGCAGAGAGAAUAUUCUCUCAAUUAUCUUUAAUAAAAACCAAAAAUAGAAAUAAACUUAAUAUUUUUACUUGUAAUUAUUUACUACAUACAAAAUAUCUUUUGAAAGACAAAAGCUGUUUUAAUUUUGAACCUUCAAAAUCGCUGAUGUCAAGAAAUUUAGCCUUAGAUUAGCCAAAUGGUUUGUGAUUCUGAUGAAAUUACAUUUUAACAAUGUUAACUGUUGAAUUCUUUAAAAUGGAGUUACAGUCGAUGAAACGGUUCUCAUACGAAUUAACUUGCUUAAAGUUGUUUAAAAAGUAGCGUCUUACGCUGUAACUCCGGCUUUAAUUAUAUUAAAAUAGUAGAAGUAUAUUAAAUAAUCAAAAUUCCUUCUAUCAAGCAGCUUUAUGUAAGGUGAUGAGAUUGGGUAACAUAAUUAUGUGCAAUUUUGUAGAUUGCUUGGUGGAAAGUCUUUUGAUCGAUCGUUUUUUUUUUCUUUUUUGUUAUGUUUUGUUAAAAAUAGGAUUACCUAUGUUUUGUUUUGUUAAAAAUAGGAUUGCCUGUUUUGUUUUGUUAAAAAUAAGA